RNA transcript from Capsicum annuum, 2877 nucleotides. RefSeq lists it as uncharacterized. The record is from RefSeq and is a predicted model, not a curated record. Lineage: Eukaryota; Viridiplantae; Streptophyta; Magnoliopsida; Solanales; Solanaceae. The transcript is spliced from 7 exons.
UCUUCAUUUCACUAUUAGAGAGUUUGCUUUGGUGACUGGUUUGAAUUGUGCUACAAAUAAGGAUGAAUUUUUGUUUGAUGAGGAGCGCCCUAAUAGAAUUAUUGAUCAAUAUUUUGAUGGUGAGAGUUUUGUACAGAAAAAAAAUUUAUAUGCUGUUGUUUCUGACAAAAUUUGGAGGAAUGAUAACGAUGAAGAUGCGUUAAAGUUUGCUAAUUUGUAUUUUAUUCACGUAUUCUUACUAUCGUCAGUUGAUACCGUAGCUAUUCCACACCUCCACUUUGAUUUGGUUGAGAGUGGUCACUACAGUGAUUAUCCGUGGGGAUCGGUUGCAUUUGAAGAAUUAGCUUGAAGUUUGCAUAAAAAGUUGAAGCCGAAAGGAAAGUUCUAUAUGCUUCUUAGAAUGCCACUGGCCAUUCAAAUUUGGUUGUACGAGUGUUGUUCAAACGUGCCUCGUAAUGUUAUUUCCAAGGUGGAUUCUCAAAUCCCUCGUAUUUUGAAUUGGAAGACAAAUUCUCCUCGUCCAAGAUAUGAAACUCUUAUGGGAAGUAUGUUUGAUGAUACAGAUGACAAGGUUGUUUUUAAGAAUAUCGAACCAACAAGAAAGGAGAUUUCAACUUUUCAUAUAUCGAAGAAGCUUGUUCCUGGAUCUGCUAGUCAUAAUGAAGAUGACAUUGAUUCGGAAGAUGAUUUGCAGGAUCCUCCACAAAGACAAAAUCAGUUUACCACAAAGAAAAAACAUCAUGGCGAUUUCUCAGCUUUACCUAUAAAGAAAAAAAUGAAGCCACAUCCUAAAGGUGUAGAUGAGCUGAUAUAAAAACGGAUUCCUCCACCCCGUGCUGCAAAGAUGUCUUUUGUCAGGACUCUAAUUCACAAGCCAAUUCAAACAAAAGUUACGCUAGGUGAAAAUAGGAAAGACAUAAACCGGCCUGACAGUAAAAAAUUCAUUCCGGUUUAGUCACCUGCUCCGUCUUCGUUUAGUUCUGAAGAUGAAGACGGUGUUGUCUCGAAGAAAGUCUUUGAUAAGUUUUGUGAAAAAGAUAAUUUUUCUUUAAGCUUUUGAUUAAUUUAUUUUUUCAUUUCUAAUUAUUUUUUUAAUAAUUCAGGUAUGGCAAGAGUUUAAUGAUGUCCGUGGCCUAGUGUUUUUCAGGUUUGAUCAGAUGAUGAAUGCAAUCAAUGAAAAUAAGAAACAAGCAAAAGGCAGCGAAUCUGAUCAGCCACCAACGGAUGAAAAUGUUAAGAGUACAUCACCCCAUCAAGCGACUACAAAAUUUGUUCAUGAGUUUAAUAAGAAUCCUGAAGUCACAUUGAUCACAAAAUCAAUUGACGAAAGUAUUGGUGAAGUACAAAUAUCAGAAUCUCAACUCACAUUUUCAGAUGACGUCCUUAAAAGCAUUGAUCUUGACUCCAUAACAAAAGCCAAUGUUGAAGUUGAAGAUGAGUUCAAGGUAUCUAUAAAACGUGCAUUGAUUGCUAUUUUUAAUUUGUUGAAAAAUGCAAUCUAACUAGAUCUUUAUAAAAUUUAUACAAAACAAAGAAGGUACGAUUGAGAUGAAUGUAAAUACACCAACGAGACAUGAGUCAGAGGUUAAUGAUGUGGAUAAUUCAAAGUUAGAUCAGGAAUAUAAGAGUGCAGUCCACAUUCCUGCGGGAGUAAAUAUUGAAAGCAAUACUAAUCAACAUUUGUCUGACUCUCAGAAUACUCUUCCUGAUGAGCUUCUUCCCAGUCUUAAUGUGUAUGUCAAUCUUGAACGAAGUAUAAUUCUACAUCCAUCUGCAAAUCAAGCACAACAAACGUCAAUGCAUGUUUUAAGGAUUAGGCGACCAUCUAGAUACAAUGAGUCACCAUUCACAAUGAAAUUUGGUUCAGCAGAUGUAAGCAUGGAAGAGCAAUGGAGAACAUUCGAUCAGAAGCAUCCCUUUAUAUCUCAUCCAGUUAAUGCGAUAGAAGACACUAAAGUCACCAAUAAGUUCAUGACGUGGCUUUCAUUGGAUCCUCUUAAAUAUCAUUCGAAGAGGAACAACAAAGAAGAACAUUAUUUGAAGGGAAAGGCAAAAAUACCAGUUAUCAACUUUGAAAUUUUAUCUGUUGAAGACAAGAAUUGGUUCUACGUUAUGGGUACUCCUAGCCAGACGUGAUCAGAUGAGCAAAUUGAUGUAUGCUUGUACUAUCUGUGAAAGAAGUCCAAGUAUGAUCCCAAUAUCUCAUAUAAGUUCAGCACUGUAGACUGCAAUUUCAUAAACAUUGUUACAACUGUAUUUGAUGUGUAUAAAUUGGAUGAUGCAACUCUUAAUGCUGGUGGAAAGAAAUAUCAUCUGAAUGAGUAUGUAAGUGGAUUCCACAUGCAUGCUACAGUGCCAUGGCAUACGGUUGAUCAUAUGUUCAUUCCUGUUCACGUAAAGGCAAAACAUCAUUGGGUUCUUGCAAUUAUAUCUUUCAAUCAUAGGUGUAUAUACACAUUUCUACUUAUUACACAUUCAGCCAUAUGUAUUAUUCAGAUUUCAAUUUGUAUUUUUUGAAAGAUACACAUUAUGGUUAAUACUAAUGUUCAUUUCAGAUUGUAUUUUCAUUAACGUCUAAUGUAAACAUAUUUAUUUUUCAAAAUAACAAUGGCUCCUAUUAUUCCAUAUUCAAACAUAUUUUUAGUGCAAAAAAUAUAUGUAGAUAUAUACAUAUAUAAUAUAUAAUUAAACAUUUGAACUAUAACAAAUUAACAAGUUCAACUUCAUAAAAGUGCAACAUCUGAACACUAUCAAAUUAUCAAUAUCAAUAAAAAGUUCAAAAUUCUAAAUGAAACAAUUAAAAAAAAGAAUAAUAAAGCAACUGAAUUUUCACUAAAAACGUGAUAAAAUAAAACAUGAUAAAAUGUAUCAUAUGUU